UUGAUCCUGCCCCUUCUCAUACCCUCAUCUCAAAAAUCCAGCCAUGCGUGUCUAAGGAUAAACACAUUCCAUGCGGCGAAACUGCGAAUGGCUCAUUCUAGCAGCUAUCAUCGAUUCGAUAGUACCUUACUACUGGGACAACCCUAGAAAUUCUACAGCUAACACAUGCCUAAAGACCCGCCUGCUUGUCCGACGGGUUGCAUUUAUUAGAUUGAAACCAAUAAUCUUCGUGAGUUUUUGAGUUGAGUCAUAAUAACUGUGCGGAUCGCGUUUUUCGCGAUAAAUCGAAUGAGUUUCUGCCCUAUCAGCUUUCAAUGGUAGGAUAUAGGCCUACCAUGGCAUUAACGGGUAACGGGGAAUUAGGGUUUGAUUCCGGAGAGGGAGCCUUAAAAACGGCUACCACAUCCUAGGAAGGCAGCAGGCGCGUAAUUUACCCAAUCCUGACACAGGGAGGUAGUGACAAUAAAUAACAAUGCCGGGCUUUUUCAAGUCUGGCAAUUGGAAUGAGUACAAUUUAAAUCCCUUAACGAGGA
Molecule: ribosomal RNA, 533 nt
Filed under: uncultured eukaryote
Lineage: Eukaryota
Description: bacterial SSU rRNA
Rfam family: Eukaryotic small subunit ribosomal RNA
Source: RNAcentral